UCAUGUCAGUGGAAAGUAAACAAAAAAAUUGCUCUGAAGUGGCUAAAUUGAAAUUCAUUUCCACAUGCAGUGCAAUUCCUGGAGGAUCUUUCCCAUCUCCUCAUGGUUAAUUUGCAUCCAAGCUCUCCUGCAACCCAUUAGAAAAGAGUUAUGGAAAAAUUGCACAUAGAAUAUGAUGGUGUGUUAUGAGGAAAAAUUAUUAAGAUGAAGUUUAUUUUACUUAAAUAUUUUUAAGCAAAUUUGUUGAUUUCUGCUGUGCCUUGAAAUGUGUAACACUUGCCUAAUUUUUGUCUUUCAGCUGAGGAACUCAAAAUGUGAAAGUUGCUCCCCAAAGGAAGUUUGGCAUUAAAGUUUGAAAAAUCAGGCAAGCCAACCCUGCAGUCCUGAGGUCCUGAAGCCCAGCAGGACCCAGCCCAACAUGGCAGGAAGAUGUUCUGCCCUUGCUGAGCUUUGGAAGGACUGCAAAUAUCAGGCUCUGCAUGAAUCCUGGAUUUCCGUGAAUAGAUGGAAUUGAAAUUGAAAGAUACCAUCCAAAUAGGUAAACACGUCAGAAACAUUAUCUGGGUCACAUUUGGGCACCAGGGUUUGCUCUGUUUUAAGUGCAAAUGGGUUACUGAUGAUUUAGAUGAACCUCCUGAGGAGUGUUUGAAAUUCCUGGCACACAUUUGCUAUCCCAUCUGCUAGAAGGCCUUUGAUGAGCCCACAAAGAGACAUUGGACUGGAGCUGCUGCUCUUCAUCUCUGGUUGGACUUCUUAUGAUUGACCAGUUUGUAUUUUUUGCAUUUGUAUUACUUUGAUUCCCAAGGAGAAAAAGGGUUUUCAAGGGACUGUGUCACAAGCUGCCAAGACAGAGGUGUUCUGUGAACUCUCCAUCCAUGUGCUGUCACCAACUUGUUCCAACACUGCCAGUUCUUUAUGUCUGCUAAAAUUAUUAUGUAGAGUCAAAUUUUGCUCUCGUUUAGGCCAGAUCUAACAGUAACUAAGUAAUUUGUUCUCUCUGAGGGAACUUGAGGCUAGCUUGGGUUACAGAUGCUAAAACUGUUUAGCACAUAACUAGAUGGCAUCUUCUUCUCUUUCACGCCCUUCUUCACCUGUUGAAAAGCAUCUUUUCAGGAGAUUGUGUUAUAACUUACUAAAACAUACCGUCCAGUAGGGUUGAAUUCAAAUAGAAUAUUUUCCAUUUUUUAAAGCAGAAGAGAGCUGUGGCAGGAGGGCACAGGGACCAGGGUUGGAAAGGAAUUUUUUUCAGGAAUUAGAACCGAGAGUCCUGUUGACAAAGCCUGAAGUGCUUUUUCUUCACACAUAGAAAUAAGAGGAGCUUGCGUGUCUUUGCAGUGCCUCUCAAGAGAUCCCUCUUGCAGAAGAAGGAGAAGGUUCCCACAAGUCCCAGCCCCUGGGCAGAGCUGCAGCACAGCUCCAGGGAGACUCAGCAGAUGGAGGAGAUGAGGUUCAGGGGGAAAAGCUGCUCUUGCAGCAUGGAAGAAACGACAAAGCAGGGAAUGUUCUCUAUUCCCCAUCUGCUCCACGAUCUCAUAAUUUUGCAGUAGUGCCUUAUCUUUUCAAUUCAGUAGCCUGCCUCUGGACAUCUCCUGAGACAUGCCACAAUCUGAAUAUGCUGAACAGUGCCUCUGCCCAAGAGCUGCCUCCCGAGCCACAGCCUGUUGCAGAGCUGAUAGCCCUGGCAAGAGUGAAGGAAGGCUCAGAUGUGAUGAUGCUGUUCUACAAACAGGUGAGCACAGGACACAUAUACAAAACCGCAGCAAAUGUUUGCUGAGACCUCACCCCCAGGCUAAUUGCUUCUGCCCCUGGUGGGAAUGUCUACAUUUUCUUCCACUGAGGGCCUUUAGACAUAUUAAAGGCAUGUCAGGAACUGAGAUCCCAGGGGAUCCAUUGAUCUUAUUUCUGUGGAUGCUUUUACCCUGGGUCUAUUUGAAGAAGGAUGAUUCAUUCAACUGCUUGAGCUUAUGGGUCUGUGUGUCACUUCCCACUGUAAGAAGGGGGGUCUUCUUUGCUAUCAUGGACUGGUUGAGGCUAAUUUUGGGAUAGAUCUAGCAUUGAAAAAAUGCUUUACGCAAUACAGCAGCUGAUUCAGUUUCUUCCAUGCUGGAUGCUGGUGUUUAGAGUCUCCAAGGCAGGAAGUGUUAUCAAGCAACAUCAAACAGAUGUUCCUCAUCAUGCUCCAGCUGCAUUGACUGGCAACCUGCUCAGUCAAACACUCGAGGGGGACACAGGCAUUCAUUCUGCAUAGACAGCAGUUUAUUUAACAAUCCACCUGGAAGCAGCAAAGGAUCUCUUAAAAGAAAUAUCUGUACCAGUGUUCAUUGUAAAUGCACCAGAAGCUCUUGUAGUCAUGGCACCCCCAAGAACCAUUUCCAGGAAGGGGCCUGAGUUUUCCCCCCGAUAGCUCAGGAGGAUAAAUCAUCCUGAUUUUGCAGGAAAUGUGAAGAAAUUUUUCUCUGGAUUUUCACACCUGCUGGUCACGGUAUGAAUCCACAUUGGCAACAUCAUCUUUUGAUGGGGUGCACAGUGAACUCUUGCAAUGCAGGAUGCAGCUAAACAUUCUGGUUUGGAAUGGCUGAAGGAAGAAUCGAUCAGUAUCAAAAUCCCAGGGUCUUCCAUUGUUGAUCGAAAGAAAAGGCCCCUCUUUGUGGCCAGGAACUCCAGCAGGUGUCUCUGGACCUUCCAGAGGCAAAGAUUAAGCAUAUUGUUGCUAAAGGGAACAUCUUCACAGGGAUGUUGCAGGAACUGAAGAGAUGAGAUUAGGAUAGUGGGGCAAUACCAGACAUCAGCGGGUGUCAGCUCAGGUGAUUGCUUCAGGGCUCUGCCCUGCCUGGACUCCAAAGCACGGCAAUAAACCAGCCCUGUUUGCUGGCUGCCAUGGCUGUGCUUGCUCCCAUGGCUGGCACAAGCACAUUUGUGCUGUUUUGUGUGCAGGGCAUGCAUUAGGGGGUGUGUGAUGGUCCUGGAAAUCUGGACUCUCCAGCUUUGAGGCAUGGCCAGAGCACUUGCCAUUGGGCGGGACAACAGCUCUUUGCAGUCUGAGUGAAGGCAGUCUGGAAUUUCCUCCAGAAACCUUCAUGCCUCACCUGCACUGAGUCUGGAGCCAAGGUGGAAGCUGCUGGGGACAGCUUUCUUUGAACAUCUACUUAUCCACAAAGACCGGAGUUUUGGGUCCAGUAACUGAAAUGGAGCUAAAGAGAACAUCUCCAUCCACAGUGUGGGAAGGUGGGAGGUCUUCCUGCAGGCGGAAUGUGUCCAGUGUGAUGCUGCUUCAACUACUUUGAGAGUUGUGGUCACUUUGAGAGAGGCACAGGUAGAACUGGAGCACAGGACCCUGCAAAGUGGCACUCUGCAGCUGCCACUGCUGGAACCCAACCUCAGCUCCCCACUAUAGCUGGAACUGCACACCAGCCCCCCAGCUACAGCAUGCUCAGGCUGAUUGCUUUAAAUCACUCAGCUCAAAUAGUGAUAAUGUCCAUAAAAAAAAAUAAAUCUUGAAUCCAAAUAACCCUGUGCAGUCCAGGGUAGCACUUGGGUUUAGGCAUGUCCUUGGGCUGCUAGAGUCCACAUGGGCCAUAGCCUUGUGUCCAGCACAGCCUAUCAGGCUGUGGUCACAGCUGGACAGAUUAAUGACCCACAUGCCACAAUGAAUUUUCUGUAGUAUAAAUCAGCUGUCAUUUGUUCCUGGCUUAUCAAUGGGAAGGAAAACACUGCAGUGCAACACCUCCAUGAAAGUUGAAGUCUUGGAGCCUCAUAAUUGGUAGGAGCAUGGGCUGCAGAGGGGAUUGCACGAUAAGAAGGCUCUCCCACUUCUCCAAAAAUUUUGACGGUUACCAGAAGCUGGCAGCAGUGUUUCAACCCUACAUGGGAUGUAACAAAAAGAUGAACCAACUGAAGAAGAAAAAAUAUGACUCUGAUGUGUCUACAGAUCAUUUCCAGAGGCAGGAUCAUAAGAGUUGACUCUGAAUUCAGGGACACGCAUGCAAGCAGGGCCAAGACAGCUUUCAGCCACUCCUUCACUUCCCCCUGAAGAUCCCUAAGGAAAUAUUAUCCCACAGUUGGGGUCCAGCAUGGACAUAAUGUAGGUUUGAUAGGGCAGGCAGCCAUCAGUGGUGUUAUCUCCCUUCUGCAAGGAGGCUCCUUCUAGAUCGAGGCUUUCACUUGGCACACAGCACUGAACUCAGGAUGUGAAAAGAGCAGAGUGUGUGGGAGCUGCUGAUUUUGUCUCCUUGGUGGGACUGUUAUUUUUAAUAAAAAUAUCAGAUGUUGCACUUCCUUGAAAACAUGACAGUCUAUGGGAGAGUUCAUUAGUUUAUGGCAAGUUGCAACACUGUGGAGCCUGGCUGAAAGCAAAUGUUAUUGCAAAGAGUUAUCACUAAGGGGAGAGGAAAACAAUGUCCUGAGGAAAUAAACUCGACAGAGCAAAUCACAGAGCAAUAUAAAGCUGCGGAGUACAGGCAGUAGAGUGGAAUUCUUUCUCAGAAUAAAAGGCCCCAGUCACCUGUUUUUAAUGCCAGUGUUUGCUUUCUGCAUAUUCAGUGAAUAUGUGGGAUACAUCUGUGCAGAACUCUGUCUCUAAUGGGAGUAACAAGUAUCAUGAUUGCAGCUGGCUGGACUUAAAUAGUGAUAACACCAGUAAAAUACCAGUAAACAUCACUUCUGUGUUGGUUGUUGGGGUUUUAUUGUUAAAAAAUUGUGUGGUUUAAUUUCAGUUUGUACCAAAUAUUUCAGGAAGUAUUUCUUUCCUCAAAAAUACAGAGUGAAGCUUUACUGAUGGCCGGUUAUACCGAUGACUAGCCUGUCUCAAGUCUGAGCAAAGUUGGAGGUGCAAGGGGAGAGGAAAUAGCAGUUUUCAUUAGUCUCACAUAGCUGUACAUUGCCACUCUUCUUAACCUUCAGUUAAUCUAAUUCACACCAAGGACUGAAAAUGUAGCAUCAGAUUUGGAGGUGUGUAAAGGUGAAUUGAAAAUAAGCCAUCAUUUUCCUAUCUGAGUCUCAUGGCACUUGCAACAUUGCAGAGCACUCCAGUUCUGCAUUGUCAGGGUUCUGCUUGUGUCUUCCAUUUUUAUUUCCUAGCUGGAGAAUUUGCUGCAGCUUUGCUUAUUUACCUUUAUGGUAGGAUGCACAAGUUUCUCCUUCAGGCAGUGGGAUCCUGUGCCUGCUCCCAACCCAGCUACCUACACCGAGCCAAUGUGGGCCUCUGGUAGCCCCUUGGAGCUUUUGAGGUUGGUAAUUUCUUCAUUUAUUUUGGCUGUAUUAAAUCAAUAUGACACAGAUUGUCAUGACCAGUCCUGCAGCUCUGUGUCCUGGGAUGGGCAGUGCCCACCUCCACAUGCUGCUUAGCCUGGGAGGAGAGGUUUGCUCUGCUGCUCUGGCUCAUCCUUGGACCUGCACAGCUUCUUUCUGCAAAUGCCUGUGAAAUGCAGGGUGACUCUUCCUUUGUCUUUUUCCUUCCCUCAUCCUCUCACAGUUUGACCCAGUUUUCCUAAAUUUUGCAUGCAUUGAUGUUGGGGUGCAAUCCCAGUAGAGCCCCUGCCAGAGGAGUAGGCUGGCAUUUUGGUGGCACUACAACCUCUGUUUUUAGCUCUGGUGACCUCAGAAAUAAGAGGCCAACUUCUUGAACAAGCUGCCUGAGGAGCCUGGGAUAGGUCAGGGAUUUCUUGGGCAGAUCAAAAGCCAGAGAUGCUUUUCUGACAGCCAUGGAGCUCCCUGUCCUGAUUUAUGAAUUCUAUAUGCUCUAUAUAUUUAGCUGAAGAGGCUCACUGGGGGAACAGUUUUUGCAAGCAGGAAAGAACAUGUGACUUCAGAAAGUCACCAUCCAUCAAGAGAUAACCCCUCAAAUGCACUCUUUGUAGAGCUAUCAACCAUGGCAAAAGGAGCCCAGGAGACUUGGCAAAAAAAAUGCUAGGAUAAUUUAGAAGACCAGCAUUUUUAACAGGAGACCUGUUAAAAAUGGGGAAGCAAAUCAUGGUAACGCAAACUCAAACCCCAGGAACUGGGAGCUCUGGACUUGGGGUAGCAGACCUGCAACCUCACCUCACUUCAAAAAUCUUCUUUCUCUUUCUUUGGAACCUCACCAGAGCCCAAAGAGUAUGGCUUGCUCUCCCUUGGUAAGUGCUAUGUGCCUUGGCAGAUUUGGAGUUUCAUAUCCUCUUUUGGAGGCUGGAUGCACAAAGGCUCUGCCAGGCUCCUGGGGCUCUUCACAACCCUGAGAGCUGUUGUCACACCAGUGACACUUAGCUCAUGUUCUUGAGGUAGUCUCCACAGGCUAGAGGGUUGUGAUGCUUUGCUGUCCCCUCUGUGAGAUGAGACUGAGCUCAGCCCCAUGCCUGUUUGGAUGUGAGCCCUGUUCCUGACAGAUGGAGCACAAGGGAUAAGUUCCCAAUAUUCAUAGAAAACAGGGCAGGAAACCUAAUUCCUACUUUUAAGGCCAGAGCAUUUCCAUGUGCACAAUACAGUAAUCCUGACAUCAAAUCUGUAGUUUCUGUAUAGGUUACAGACUUCCAAGCAGGUAGUCUUGCAAUCUUGGAGGCUUUGAGCAACAAAUAUCCACCACAUCCCAAACCUGCUGGAACAACUUUACUGUGUUGUGCCUCAUUUUAGCUUCCAGUAUGCACAUCUUGUUUUAUCUCUGUUCCAUAGAAGAGGAAGCCCUCUGCCAGAAAAGGUUUUCCCAGGACCUGGCCAUAGAUGACCAGCUCACCUCCCAGCUCUCUUCUGGCCAGCCUAAAGACACUGAAAGCCUCCAGCUCCAACCCCACAGUAUGACAGUUUUCCAAUUCUGAAUGAUCCUCAUUUUUUUUUUUUGUCCUAGUCCAGGUAAGUCUAGGACUGCACCCGCUCUAUGUCCUGGAAGGAUUCUCUGCUCAUCUGUGUGAGGGUUUGUGUUAGCAGUGGUGAAACUGCAGCUCCUGUCUUCACCUUCUGAUGAAAAAGCCAUGUAAAAAUGCUGCCCUCCAGCAGGCACUGCCAUCGAGGAGUUUAAGAGUGGGUAUUUUGAAGCCUUGGUAGGGCUGUCCAUGGACAAUUAAGGAAAUCCACUAGCUGAAUUUCAGUGUUUUAUCAGAUCAGAGCCCUUUUUUCCACUGCAUAUGAACUGAAAUGGUCAGAUGUGCCGUGGGAUGGCCAUUCAGUGAAGUUGUGGAUUAAAGGCAUAGACAGGCAGCAUGGAACACAGGUUGGGGUCUCUGCUCCCUGGGGUAAAGUCUUAGGGACAGCAGCAAGGUCCCUACAAAUGCUCAGCUGGAGUUAUUCUGGGAUAACAGAGGCACAGUCUAGGCCAUGUUCUCUGUGGAGAGUCUUAAAUCUCUGUGCUUAGAGAAGCAACUUUGCUGUUGCCACCAAGCUGGUGCUGUCACUCUUUAAAGAGAGUCUGGAUGAGUGGUAUGAUUUGUUGACUGAAGAACAGCGGAAUGUGCAUAUUCUGUCAGUUUGGGGAAUUUGGGGAACUAGAUCUUGCCUUCUCUUUUAAUGUCAAUGUGAAGUGGCCUCCUCGGGUAUUUUUACUUUCUCAGAAUAACUGUAGGGUCAAUCUUAACACUAAAUGCAGAGGAAGUGGAUGUAGUCCCAGAAAACAUCACUGGUGAGCUGAAUCACAGAGAGCAAGCCAUGGCUUAUUUUUUUUACCCUGUGCAGAGGCAAAUUUUGUCAUCAUAUCACUCACAUAACCUUUCAGAUGAACUUAGUAAUCAUGAUACGUUUUGGUUUGGCUUCUUUCAGAUUAAAACCUUGCCUUUCAGAAAAAGGAAACCAUAAGUUAAAUAACUCCAAAAUUAGGUAUUUCUAAAGGAUAGUUAGUGGUCUUCUUUCUUACCAAAAUCAACCCAAGAUUGUGUUUAAAUAAUAACCUGUAGUAAUUCCUGCUCCAAAUGUGAUUAAGUUAGCAGGAUGUUAUCAGUAUAGCAUCCUACAUUUCAAACCACACUUUAGGGUAAUAGCUACAAAAAUGAGUACUAUAGAUCUCCAUAACUUUGAAAAAUCCACCAGAUACUGUGUUCUAAAUCUCCCCAUCUGGUUCUCUCUACUUCAACAGUUGCACCCGUGGUUUUGUUUGCCUACACACAAAUUACUGACCGAUCAUUCUUUUAUUCCCUGGUCUUGUAGAUAGGGGGACCCAUGUAAAGUUAAUGCAGAUACAGAUCCCUGCCCCCAGUGACUUCAUUGGGAUGCAAAAAUACUGGAAUUAUAAUCCUCCUCCUUCGUCACUUUGAGCAAAAAGUAAUUUUAGUUGCACUGAAAUUUCUAUAGCAAGGGCAACAGGUCUGUGUUUGGAAGAGUUCGCUUUUAAAAAUAGUGUCCAUGCAAAUAUAUAAAUACAUGCUUUGUAGGGAUAUAUGCCUGUAUACACAUACACAGACUCUGUAUAUACAGAAAGACACACACACAUACUUAGGAGAUGUGUAUAUAACACUCACUUAUAUACAAAUCCAUUCCCUGUUAUGAAACAAUCAUCAAGAUAUAAACAAGAAAAAGUUAAACCACGGAUGGGCACAUUUUCAAGUGCUGCUGGAGGGUUUUAUCUACAGUAUUGAAGAAGUGCUAUCAAAACUGAAACAGGGCACUUAUUACAAAGAAAUCUUUACGUAAGUGCUGGAAAGGUUUGCCGAAUAACCAGAUGUUGUUGCAAAGACACUUCUCCUCCCCCCUCCUCACUUCUUUCCUUCUUUAAUAGUUCGAUUAAUUCUGCGCAUAAACCAGGGCUGAUAAAAGUUCUAAGCUGCAAACUUCACCACAUCUGGACACUGUCGAAGCCGGAUCAUUCAGCGGUGCACUUCAGUUGCGUUUAAUCUCCCUCAAUAAAAUAAAAACUUCCAACAA
Molecule: non-coding RNA, 8817 nt
Organism: Taeniopygia guttata (zebra finch)
Lineage: Eukaryota; Metazoa; Chordata; Aves; Passeriformes; Estrildidae
Source: RefSeq, a predicted model, not a curated record